This 465-nucleotide ribosomal RNA is filed under the name uncultured bacterium. Its description in RNAcentral is "partial 16S ribosomal RNA". It matches the Rfam family "Bacterial small subunit ribosomal RNA", at positions 28 to 507 of the family's 1533-position model. The record is from RNAcentral.
GACGAACGCUGGCGGCGUGCUUAACACAUGCAAGUCGAACGGAAAGGCCCCUUUGGGGGUCCUCGAGUGGCGAACGGGUGAGUAACACGUGAGUAACCUGCCCUUGACUUCGGGAUAACUUCAGGAAACUGGGGCUAAUACCGGAUAGGAAUCCUUGCUGCAUGGUGGGGGUUGGAAAGCUUCGGCGGUUUUGGAUGGACUCGCGGCUUAUCAGCUUGUUGGUGGGGUAGUGGCUUACCAAGGCUUUGACGGGUAGCCGGCCUGAGAGGGCGACCGGCCACAUUGGGACUGAGAUACGGCCCAGACUCCUACGGGAGGCAGCAGUGGGGAAGAUUGCACAAUGGGCGGAAGCCUGAUGCAGCAACGCCGCGUGCGGGAUGACGGCCUUCGGGUUGUAAACCGCGUUCAGCAGGGGCGAAGCUUGUGGUGACGGUACCUGCAGAAGAAGCACCGGCUAACUACGUG